This is a long non-coding RNA of Cyprinus carpio carpio, 723 nucleotides long. The record is from Ensembl. NCBI's taxonomy places the organism in Eukaryota, Metazoa, Chordata, Actinopteri, Cypriniformes, Cyprinidae.
CACCACCUCUGGUUUUGCCGGCCUCCACAGUCCAGUCAAACCGAAGAACAGAGAAGCUAUCAGAUGGUGUUACAGCUUUGUCCGGUACCGAGGGGGUCAGCCAUGUUUCGGAUAAGCAGAUUAUGUUGCAGUCCCUUAUGUCCCAUUGGAAUCUUAUCCUGGCUCUGAGUUCAUCUAUCUUAUUCUCAAGUGUUUUCUGUUUCGUCACCUCGGAGGAGCACUCUCAUAGCCAUUGUUCUCAUCCGUCAUGCGGAGAAUCUCAGGUGGCCAUCUUGGAAGUUGUAAAGAUUUAGACAAGCUUCAGUCUGGAUCCAGAAAACCUGAAGAGAUGAUGCCAACCCCUCAGAGGACCUCAGAUGAUGCCAACCCUGAAACAACAUACAGAUCUACCAAAUUUUGCUGCAAGUUUGAUUCCAACAUAUAAUAAUUGCUGUUAAUAGAGUUCAUAAUCUGUUUGAUUACGUCUUUAAUUGAUUAUUCUGUACAUUUCUGCCAUAUGUACAUUUACUGACAUAGUCACCACUGAUAAGCUACUACUAAAUAUAUCUAAGCCCACAAUAAUCAUAAAAGUGGCUUGUUUUUGCAAUAUGGUUUGGUGGUCAGUUGGAAAGUCAAUAAACUGCCAUAUAGUAGUGGCCAAAAGUGAUGUCCGGCCAAGGAAAUUUGACAUCUUUACCCUUAAUUUAAAAAAAUAAUAAUAAAAAUGUGCAAGAUUUUGUAAGC